This 337-nucleotide ribosomal RNA is filed under the name uncultured bacterium. RNAcentral's name for it is "bacterial SSU rRNA". It matches the Rfam family "Bacterial small subunit ribosomal RNA", at positions 8 to 334 of the family's 1533-position model. The record is from RNAcentral.
AGGGUUCGAUCCUGGCUCAGGAUGAACGCUAGCUACAGGCUUAACACAUGCAAGUCGCGGGGCAGCAUGAAGGAUGCUUGCAUUCUUUGAUGGCGACCGGCGCACGGGUGAGUAACGCGUAUCCAACCUGCCCCUUUCCCCGGCACAGCCCGUAGAAAUGCGGAUUAAUGCCGGAUGCGGUCGUGUGACGGCAUCAGAGCACGACGAAAGGAGCGAUCCGGAAAGGGAUGGGGAUGCGUCCGAUUAGCUUGACGGCGGGGUAACGGCCCACCGUGGCGACGAUCGGUAGGGGCCCUGAGAGGGGAAUCCCCCACAUUGGGACUGAGACACGGCCCAA